ACGAACGCUGGCGGCAGGCUUAACACCUGCCAGUCGAGCGCCCCGCAAGGGGAGCGGCAGACGGGUGAGUAACGCGUGGGAACGUACCUUUUGGUUCGGAACAACUCCGGGAAACUGGAGCUAAUACCGGAUAAGCCCUGACGGGGAAAGAUUUAUCGCCGAAAGAUCGGCCCGCGUCUGAUUAGCUAGUUGGUGAGGUAACGGCUCACCAAGGCGACGAUCAGUAGCUGGUCUGAGAGGAUGAUCAGCCACACUGGGACUGAGACACGGCCCAGACUCCUACGGGAGGCAGCAGUGGGGAAUAUUGGACAAUGGGCGCAAGCCUGAUCCAGCCAUGCCGCGUGAGUGAUGAAGGCCUUAGGGUUGUAAAGCUCUUUUGUCCGGGAAGAUAAUGACUGUACCGGAAGAAUAAGCCCCGGCUAACUUCGUG
This 430-nucleotide ribosomal RNA is filed under the name uncultured bacterium. Its description in RNAcentral is "partial 16S ribosomal RNA". It matches the Rfam family "Bacterial small subunit ribosomal RNA", at positions 29 to 507 of the family's 1533-position model. The record is from RNAcentral.